UGAUUAACACGUGGGUAACCUGCCCAUAAGACUGGGAUAACUCCGGGAAACCGGGGCUAAUACCGGAUAACAUUUUGAACCGCAUGGUUCGAAAUUGAAAGGCGGCUUCGGCUGUCACUUAUGGAUGGACCCGCGUCGCAUUAGCUAGUUGGUGAGGUAACGGCUCACCAAGGCAACGAUGCGUACCGACCUGAGAGGGUGAUCGGCCACACUGGGACUGAGACACGGCCCAGACUCCUACGGGAGGCAGCAAUAGGGAAUCUUCCGCAAUGGACGAAAGUCUGACGGAGCAACGCCGCGUGAGUGAUGAAGGCUUUCGGGUCGUAAAACUCUGUUGUUAGGGAAGAACAAGUGCUAGUUGAAUAAGCUGGCACCUUGACGGUACCUAACCAGAAAGCCACGGCUAACUACGUGCCAGCAGCCGCGGUAAUACGUAGGUGGCAUGCGUUAUCCUGAAUUAUUGGGCGUAAAGCGCGCGCAGGUGGUUUCUUAAGUCUGAUGUGAAAGCCCACGGCUCAACCCGUGGAGGGUCAUUGGAAACUUGGGAGACUUGAGUGCAGAAGAGGAAAGUGGAAUUUCCAUGUGUAGCGGUGAAAUGCGUAGAGAUAUGGAGGAACAUCAGUGGGCGAAGGCGACUUUCUUGUCUGUUAACUGACA
This 657-nucleotide ribosomal RNA is filed under the name Bacillus sp. AT-MI-45. Its description in RNAcentral is "bacterial SSU rRNA". It matches the Rfam family "Bacterial small subunit ribosomal RNA", at positions 107 to 745 of the family's 1533-position model. The record is from RNAcentral. Lineage: Bacteria; Bacillati; Bacillota; Bacilli; Caryophanales; Bacillaceae.